GACGAACGCUGGCGGCGUGCUUAACACAUGCAAGUCGAACGGAAAGGCCUCUUUCGGGGGGUACUCGAGUGGCGAACGGGUGAGUAACACGUGAGUAACCUGCCCUUGACUUUGGGAUAACUUCAGGAAACUGGGGCUAAUACCGGAUAGGAGCUCCUGCUGCAUGGUGGGGGGUGGAAAGUUUCGGCGGUUGGGGAUGGACUCGCGGCGUAUCAGCUUGUUGGUGGGGUAGUGGCUUACCACGGCUUUGACGGGGAGCCGGCCUGAGAGGGGGACCGGGCACAUUGGGACUGAGAUACGGCCCAGACUCCUACGGGAGGCAGCAGUGGGGAAUAUUGCACAAUGGGUGGAAGCCUGAUGCAGCAACGCCGUGUGCGGGAUGACGGCCUUCGGGUUGUAAACCGCUUUCGCUCAUGACGAAGCUUUGUGUGACGGUAGUGGGUAAAGAAGCACCGGCUAACUACGUG
This 467-nucleotide ribosomal RNA is filed under the name uncultured bacterium. RNAcentral's name for it is "partial 16S ribosomal RNA". It matches the Rfam family "Bacterial small subunit ribosomal RNA", at positions 28 to 507 of the family's 1533-position model. The record is from RNAcentral.